This is a long non-coding RNA of Wyeomyia smithii (pitcher-plant mosquito), 574 nucleotides long. RefSeq lists it as uncharacterized. NCBI's taxonomy places the organism in Eukaryota, Metazoa, Arthropoda, Insecta, Diptera, Culicidae. The record is from RefSeq and is a predicted model, not a curated record. The transcript is spliced from 3 exons.
CUAAAAUACUCGAUAUCUUGAAAAAAAAAAUCGAUACCAAAAUUUACGAUCUUCGUAUCGUCCAUCUCUAUCUGUCAUAACUCAACGUGUUUUUCGGUUUUUCCUGUCUUUUCACAGCGACUUGUGAUGAGUGUAAAAAAAUCCUGCCUGGGCUCAAUACGACGUAAUUUUGCUGGUGUUAUUGGUAACUCUAGUGCGUGCCGUUUAACUACACGGAUAAAACCAGAUAUCGACAUCAUCAGUGGGUUACGCAGUCUUGCACAAUGUCAGAAUCGUUUCCAUCGGAUGUUCCAAAACAUGAUGAUAUCAGUAACAAUCAGAAUCUUGACAUAGAAUAUUUGGAUGCCGAUUCGCGAUUCAUUCCCUGGGCUGACAAUGAAAUUAUACAAUCGCUACAGUCGUUCAAAGUAUCAACGGAAGUUGUUCAGAAGUUCGUGGUCAACGAAUACAGUAUUAUGUAAUAUAGAGAAGCAUAAAUCUAAUGUAGCAAACAUAAACGUUUUGCACAACAGAUCAAACAUUACGGAAUAUUCACGUAUGUGCAAUUAUUACAAUGUCAAUAUAGAUAUGGAAG